This 424-nucleotide ribosomal RNA is filed under the name uncultured bacterium. Its description in RNAcentral is "partial 16S ribosomal RNA". It matches the Rfam family "Bacterial small subunit ribosomal RNA", at positions 360 to 776 of the family's 1533-position model. The record is from RNAcentral.
AAUUUUGGACAAUGGGCGCAAGCCUGAUCCAGCCAUGCCGCGUGAGGGAAGAAGGCCUUCGGGUGGCAAAGCUCUUUUGGACGGAAAGAAAUCGCGCAGGCUAAGACCCUUCGCGGAUGCCGGGACCGUCAUAAGAAGCACCGGCUAACUACGGGCCAGCAUCGGCGGUAAUACGUAGGGUGCGUGCGUCAAUCCGAAUUACUGGGCGUAAAGCGUGCGCAGGUGGUUGAUUAAGACAGGCGUAAAAUCCCCGGGCUUAGCCUGGGAACUGCGCUUGUGACUGGUCAGCUAGAGUACGGCAGAGGGGGGUGGAAUUCCACGUGUAGCAGUGAAAUGCGUAGAGAUGUGGAGGAACACCGAUGGCGGAGGCAGCCCCCUGGGCCGAUACUGACGCUCAUGCACGAAAGCGUGGGUAGCAAACAGG